Molecule: ribosomal RNA, 210 nt
Filed under: Triticum aestivum (bread wheat)
Lineage: Eukaryota; Viridiplantae; Streptophyta; Magnoliopsida; Poales; Poaceae
Description: partial small subunit ribosomal RNA
Source: RNAcentral
AUGAGCAGCUCGGUGCUCUUCUGGUACUUGCGGAUCUCCCGGAGCGCGACGGUGCCGGGGCGGAAGCGGUGGGGCUUCUUGACGCCGCCGGUGGCCGGGGCGGACUUGCGGGCGGCCUUGGUGGCCAGCUGCUUCCUCGGCGCCUUGCCGCCGGUGGACUUCCUCGCCGUCUGCUUGGUGCGGGCCAUGUCGUCGGAGAUGCGCCGGUAG